GACUAAAGCAACAGUAACAGAAGCAGGAACCUGUGGGCACUUAAUCUCUUCUUUCUGUCUUCUGUUCUGGGAAAGAAAAAGGAAUGGGAAAAGGUGACCUGCUCAAACGACGGCUUUGGGAACAGACUGACUGGAAGCAGCUUCAUUCCUGAGCAGUAAAGAUAUACAUGCAACCAAGAGAAGCAACUGCUUCCUAGAGUUUGCUGGACACUGCAGUGACCACACACACACGCGCUGUCUUAGAUGUAUCUGUCGAUCUCAAUCCUGAAGAAUAGCUGUCAUAUCUGAAUUGCCUUCACCAACAAGAACUCUGUGCCCCAUGUUUCAUCUUUCACUCCCACUCACAGUGGCUCAAAGGAGAAAAAAACGACUCAUGGACGUGUUGAUAAAGCAAAAUUUCCUUUAGAGACAUCUCUGAUCAAGACUCACAAGCAACAACUUCACAAGUCACUUGAGUGUGCUGAAAAUUUAACGGGGCCUGUUUGAUUCAAUGGACUCCUUUCAUUUAAUUAGCUGAAUUGAUGUCUCGCCAACACCAGUGGCAACACUUUCCUGACAUUGGUGUGGAAAUCAUGUCUUCCCAGUGGAUAAAACAAUCAUAGUGAUCUCCCAAGCAAUAUCCUGCUGUCAAAAACAUCAAAGCCAUGGAAAGCCCCGACAUUCAAAAGUACAUUUCCCUCAAGAGGCCAAAUUUCUCAGAGUUUAAGCUAAAGAAAACACAGAUGAUGAUUUUGCCGUCACCAAAUGGAAAACUAGCCAAACAAAUUUUGGGAAUCCAUUUAUUUUGAAACAAUCAAAAUCUGAAAAAGAAA
This is a long non-coding RNA of Chiloscyllium plagiosum (whitespotted bambooshark), 812 nucleotides long. RefSeq lists it as uncharacterized. The record is from RefSeq and is a predicted model, not a curated record. Lineage: Eukaryota; Metazoa; Chordata; Chondrichthyes; Orectolobiformes; Hemiscylliidae.